UGGGGAAUAUUGCACAAUGGGCGCAAGCCUGAUGCAGCCAUGCCGCGUGUAUGAAGAAGGCCUUCGGGUUGUAAAGUACUUUCAGCGGGGAGGAAGGUGUUGUGGUUAAUAACCACAGCAAUUGACGUUACCCGCAGAAGAAGCACCGGCUAACUCCGUGCCAGCAGCCGCGGUAAUACGGAGGGUGCAAGCGUUAAUCGGAAUUACUGGGCGUAAAGCGCACGCAGGCGGUCUGUCAAGUCGGAUGUGAAAUCCCCGGGCUCAACCUGGGAACUGCCUCCGAAACUGGCAGGCUUGAGUCUUGUAGAGGGGGGUAGAAUUCCAGGUGUAGCGGUGAAAUGCGUAGAGAUCUGGAGGAAUACCGGUGGCGAAGGCGGCCCCCUGGACAAAGACUGACGCUCAGGUGCGAAAGCGUGGGGAGCAAACA
RNAcentral lists this ribosomal RNA (427 nucleotides) under uncultured bacterium. RNAcentral describes it as "partial 16S ribosomal RNA". It matches the Rfam family "Bacterial small subunit ribosomal RNA", at positions 355 to 774 of the family's 1533-position model. The record is from RNAcentral.